AACACCAAGGCAUGAAGGAGAAGUAGCAAAGUGGGGCGUGUUAUGAAGUGAAGAUGAAAAGAGGAUGAAAUCUGAACAUUAAAGACCUCAGCGCCUUGCCUAGAAGUUUAUGGUUUUAUCCUCUUGGGGUUAUAGACUUCAGCAAGAUCGGAGUUGCAGUUUAGAAAGUCUUCUGGCCACCUAGUAGAAGAUAGUUUGCGAAACGGCCAAAAGAGAAGCAGAAGAUGCCGGAAGGAGGUGGAUGGACGAACACAGGAGACAAAGUACACAUUCAAAUCCAAAUGAAUUGAGUGUGAAGGACAGUGGAAAAAGAGACAGUGAAUUGAAUGACAGCAGUUGGGAUAUCAGUGCGGAGGGCUUCAAUCGAAGCU
Molecule: long non-coding RNA, 371 nt
Filed under: Microcebus murinus (gray mouse lemur)
Lineage: Eukaryota; Metazoa; Chordata; Mammalia; Primates; Cheirogaleidae
Description: lncRNA (ENSMICG00000048851.1)
Source: RNAcentral